AUUGAACGCUGGCGGAAUGCUUUACACAUGCAAGUCGAACGGCAGCACGGACUUCGGUCUGGUGGCGAGUGGCGAACGGGUGAGUAAUACAUCGGAACGUGCCCAGUCGUGGGGGAUAACGUAGCGAAAGCUACGCUAAUACCGCAUACGAUCUAAGGAUGAAAGCGGGGGAUCGCAAGACCUCGCGCGAUUGGAGCGGCCGAUGGCGGAUUAGGUAGUUGGUGGGGUAAAGGCUCACCAAGCCGACGAUCUGUAGCUGGUCUGAGAGGACGACCAGCCACACUGGGACUGAGACACGGCCCAGACUCCUACGGGAGGCAGCAGUGGGGAAUUUUGGACAAUGGGCGCAAGCCUGAUCCAGCCAUUCCGCGUGCAGGAUGAAGGCCCUCGGGUUGUAAACUGCUUUUGUACGGAACGAAAAGGCUCUGGUUAAUACCCGGGGCUCAUGACGGUACCGUAAGAAUAAGCACCGGCUAACUACGUGCCAGCAGCCGCGGUAA
This 500-nucleotide ribosomal RNA is filed under the name uncultured bacterium. RNAcentral describes it as "partial 16S ribosomal RNA". It matches the Rfam family "Bacterial small subunit ribosomal RNA", at positions 30 to 523 of the family's 1533-position model. The record is from RNAcentral.